GUAUUUCCUGCGUGUGCACUCUCUUUUUGUUGCUGCGGUGUUGAUCACAGAACACCCUGUGUGUUAAUCUCUCAUUCUCUCUCCUACCAGUUGUUGCGGGCAAUGUCGUAGAUCCAGAAGGAGUUGCGGACAUUCUCCUCGCGUUUGUCCUUGUCUUUGCUGAGGCCCGACAGGACGUGGAUCUCAUUGAGCUCGGGGUCUAUGGUUGCUCGCUGGGUAAAGCCCGUCAUCGGCACUGUGGAGGCAAAAACAACAAAUGAACAGGGAGGUCAACUGAGAAAUAAAAACAAACAUUCACUCCGCCAGCAGAUCUGAUUCAGCAGAGAUAAGAAUAUGGCCAAGGUCAGACGUUAUUCAGAUAUGAUCUCUACAUGGUCCCCAUCCACAUCAUAGCUGAAGAAAUCAUUGAGACAGGCAGACUGGACUCACAGUGUGGAAAAGCAUGCAGUGUCCGAUGCGGGACUGGACAUCCUCUGGGCCAGCGUUACACGAGUCUUCCCGUAAGAGGCUCCAAGUUCCAGCCUGGCAGUGGUAGGCGUACAGGCCGCUGAACUGAGGCUCUGACGUCCGACUGUCCUCCACACUGCCGUUACAUGUCAGGAUGCGACCGCCAAACGUGUAGAUCAUGUGCUUCUCAGAGUCCAUGCACAUCUGCAGGAAGAUCAGGGAGCAGAGGACAAGAGAUGGAGGAAACAGGAAGUGUGAGAGUUCAGAAAGGUUCCAGGAGGAAGCAAAAGGGCAGCAGGAUGACUUUCGUAUUUUCACUGUGUGUGUGAAAGGAUUGAACAGAGGUAUCGACUUUAUUUACUUAAUUCAUGAAUGCUGGUGCACUUUAAAAUAAAAGAAAGUUUUUAGACAAUAUAUGGGAGUGAUGGCAACCUCGUAGAAGCAACACAAUGCUUAUCUAGUCUCUCUGUCAAGGUUUAGUUACAAUUCUGGACUAAUGGAAAGCAAUGGACUAACAUUAACUAUUGAUUAAAUAUUGAAUUUAAAAUUAAUUGACUGGAAUAAUUACCAGACAGCAGUACUCAGUGUUAUAUUUUAUUAUUUUCAAAUGUUAUAUUUUCGACAAUUUCUUAUUUAUGUUAAUAUUAAUUUAUCUUAAGAUUGUAUAGAAAGUUUUUUCUAAUAUUCUUUGUAGAGCUGUGCCAUAUGACGAUAUCUAUGGUUUGACAGUAGAAAAACUAUCGUUUACAAUUAUGCUCCAUCGUUUAUUUCGUUGUGUUGCAAAUUCCACACUUUACAGUAAUAUUUAGUGAGGGGGCGGCGCUUUGCACCGCAGUGAAGUUAGCUUCACGUUGGACUUCAACAUCUAUUGAAUGUCUAACGUAAAACUAAUAUCCAACUUGAAACUAACUUCACUGCGGCCCGUUCUUCCACACGUGCCGGUGUUGCAGAAAGAAAUUUGCAUUUAAAGUAAUGGACGAGCCACACAACACUAUCCAGCAGUGCCAGUCAUGAUGUGUGUGUCAGUCAGGAAACGUUAAAUGACUUGCCCACGAAUAAACAGCUUUCUUUCUAGUUCGCCAA
Molecule: long non-coding RNA, 1530 nt
Organism: Micropterus dolomieu (smallmouth bass)
Lineage: Eukaryota; Metazoa; Chordata; Actinopteri; Centrarchiformes; Centrarchidae
Exons: 3
Source: RefSeq, a predicted model, not a curated record